AGAGUUUGAUCCUGGCUCAGGAUGAACGCUAGCGGCAGGCCUAACACAUGCAAGUCGAGGGGCAGCAUAAAAAUAGCUUGCUAUUUUGGUGGCGACCGGCGCACGGGUGCGUAACGCGUAUGCAAUCUACCUUGUACUGGGGUAUAGCCCGAAGAAAUUCGGAUUAAUCCCCCAUAAUACUAAUAUACUUCAUGGUAAUUUAGUUAAAGUUUCGGCGGUAUGAGAUGAGCAUGCGUCCUAUUAGCUUGAUGGUAAGGUAACGGCUUACCAUGGCUACGAUAGGUAGGGGGCCUGAGAGGGUGACCCCCCACACUGGUACUGAGACACGGACCAGACUCCUACGGGAGGCAGCAGUGAGGAAUAUUGGUCAAUGGGCGCAAGCCUGAACCAGCCAUGCCGCGUGCAGGAAGAAUGCCCUAUGGGUUGUAAACUGCUUUUAUUUAGGAAUAAACCUUUCUACGUGUAGAAAGCUGAAGGUACUGAAUGAAUAAGCACCGGCUAACUCCGUGCCAGCAGCCGCGGUAAUACGGAGGGUGCAAGCGUUAUCCGGAAUCAUUGGGUUUAAAGGGUCCGCAGGCGGGCGUAUAAGUCAGUGGUGAAAUCCUGCAGCUUAACUGCAGAACUGCCAUUGAUACUGUACGUCUUGAAUUCGGUCGAAGUGGGCGGAAUGUGUAGUGUAGCGGUGAAAUGCAUAGAUAUUACACAGAACACCGAUAGCGAAGGCAGCUCACUAGGCCUGGAUUGACGCUCAGGGACGAAAGCGUGGGGAUCAAACAGGAUUAGAUACCCUGGUAGUCCACGCCGUAAACUAUGAUUACUCGUUUUCGGCGAUAUACAGUCGGAGACUAAGCGAAAGUGAUAAGUAAUCCACCUGGGGAGUACGAUCGCAAGGUUGAAACUCAA
RNAcentral lists this ribosomal RNA (903 nucleotides) under uncultured bacterium. RNAcentral's name for it is "bacterial SSU rRNA". It matches the Rfam family "Bacterial small subunit ribosomal RNA", at positions 8 to 904 of the family's 1533-position model. The record is from RNAcentral.